Small nucleolar RNA from Pteropus vampyrus (large flying fox), 74 nucleotides. The record is from Ensembl. NCBI's taxonomy places the organism in Eukaryota, Metazoa, Chordata, Mammalia, Chiroptera, Pteropodidae.
UGGACUAAUGAUGGCAGCUGAUUGUAUAUGAGUCAUGGAUGCUGAUAACAUGAGUGUGGAACUCUGAGGGCCAA